RNAcentral lists this long non-coding RNA (582 nucleotides) under Brachypodium distachyon (stiff brome). Its description in RNAcentral is "long non-coding RNA (BDIS_LNC002650)". Lineage: Eukaryota; Viridiplantae; Streptophyta; Magnoliopsida; Poales; Poaceae. The record is from RNAcentral.
UACAUGUAAUAUUUCGACAAAAAUUUAGAAUCGGGGAGUAACUUUUUUUUUCGAACCCAAAGUAAGCUUGACUUGAGUAAUUAGAGUCGACGCCGGUUAGCACGUACUAGCAUGCAGCAAACGUGGAGUAGCACUCUCCGUUGGUCAUUUCAAUCGGGUUCAAUUUUUUUUUUCGAGAAAAUCAGGUUCAAUGUAGAGUUGUUGGAUUGCGUUGUGUUGAACUUUUUUAUGAUUUAAUUUGAAAAUAAGAAAAGUUAAUUAGCCAAACGGAAAAUAAGUAAAAGCUUGAUUAUCAUCACCUAAAGACAAACUCAAGUACUCACACUCGGACAGCAAAUUUUAGCUUAAUUGUUUGGUGGUCACAUGUACGCGUCUAGAAAAGGUGCACCGGGUGAGACGCUGCACCAAGCGUCUAGAAAAGGCAUCGACGCAGAUGAUCAAGCACUAAAAAAGAACCGAUUUUUUUCCUUUCCAAGCACCGGCCGGGCGAUCCCGCUGUGGCAAAAAGGCCCAGAAUUUUUUAUGCCGUUCUAGUGCCAUAUAUGGCUCUAAGACCUAAACUGGAAACAGAGUAGUACCUCG